GGAUGCGAUCAUAGCAGCACAAAAGCACCGGAUCCCAUCAGAACUCCGAAGUUAAGCGUGCUUGGCCGAGAGUAGUACUAGGAUGGGUGACCUCCUGGGAAGUCCUCGUGUUGCAUUCC
This 119-nucleotide ribosomal RNA is filed under the name Triticum aestivum (bread wheat). The record is from RNAcentral. Lineage: Eukaryota; Viridiplantae; Streptophyta; Magnoliopsida; Poales; Poaceae.